This 209-nucleotide ribosomal RNA is filed under the name uncultured bacterium. Its description in RNAcentral is "partial 16S ribosomal RNA". It matches the Rfam family "Bacterial small subunit ribosomal RNA", at positions 524 to 732 of the family's 1533-position model. The record is from RNAcentral.
UACGGAGGGUGCGAGCGUUGUCCGGAAUCAUUGGGCGUAAAGGGCGCGUAGGUGGCGCGGCAAGCGUGCGGUGAAAGCUCGGGCUCAACCCCGAGUCGGCCGUGCGAACUGCUGUGCUUGAGCACUGUAGAGGCAGGCGGAAUUCCGGGUGUAGCGGUGGAAUGCGUAGAGAUCCGGAAGAACACCGGUGGCGAAGGCGGGCCUGCUGG